This is an RNA transcript of Zophobas morio, 2161 nucleotides long. It is a transcript of the gene named angiopoietin-related protein 1-like, with no coding region annotated. The record is from RefSeq and is a predicted model, not a curated record. Lineage: Eukaryota; Metazoa; Arthropoda; Insecta; Coleoptera; Tenebrionidae. The transcript is spliced from 4 exons.
CAAAAAUUAUAUUCUUAUUAAUGUUGCUGUUUAGAAAUGUGUUCCUGAACCCUAGUGACACUGACGACUUCUCUGUGGUUUCUACUAGCAAAAGUCCACCAAAAAUUGAAGCUAUCGUAAACGAUCCUUCUUUUGUACGAGUGGAAUUACCGUUAGCAAUGCGCACUAUACUUGACGCAUUAAAAGAAAUAAAGCGGGAAAUUAUCGAAGAAGUCGAAAACGUGAUAGAAAAGAAAAUCAGGAUUUACGAUGCAGGCCUAAAAGAGCAAUUAUCAGAAACAGAAGAAAAUGUUAGACGACAAUAACAUAGGCAAAAAAUGAAAUGACGAACCACAUGGACGCCGUAAAAGAAUCGGGAUUUAGGUACAUUUCAUUCUAUCAUCGAAAAGAAACUCACACAAACGACAAAAGAAGUACUUGAUGAAAUGAGCAACCAAAGGGAAUCAACGAAGCUAAUUCUUUCCGAAAGCGAAAAACACAUCACCGGAAUAAAAUCAUACGUGCAAACUCAUUUUAGCAAUCUGGAAAAUCAGUUGAAAGAAACGAAACAAGAAAUUGUGGCAGAAACAGAAGGAAAUGUUAGACUGCAAAUAACACAAGCAAAAAAUGAAAUACUUGCUAAAAUAAACAUUUCAGGCGAAUUGACAAAGCUCUCUAUUUCUAAACACGAGCAACUUGCUUCAGAAAUACAGUCGGCAAUUAGAAUUCAGAGUAAAGAAAUAGAAGUCACUCUUAACACCUCUGGUGCUUUCAACGAAAUUAAUAACAAACUAAUCAAUAUAAACGAAAAAGAACAGAGCGUCAAAGAACAACUAACUGAAAUCAACGGUAUGGUUGACGAAAUAAAGGCUCUGCUUUUAAACAACGAAAACCUUAUCGAAAAAAUACAGUCAAAUGUGCAAACUCAGUUUACAGAGGCGAAAGCCGAAAUCUCCCAACUACAGGACUUGAACGAAAUUAAAAACCAACUGGCGAAAACGCAGGAAAAGAUACUUACAGAAAUUCAAGACUGUAAAUCUGUACCAAAGGACUGUAGAGAAGUUCAAAACAGGGGAUAUAACACUUCUGGCAUUUUUCGCAUACAACCCAUGCUUUCCUUGCAAAGUUUUCUAGUUUAGUGCGAUAUGUCGACUCGAAAAGGAGGGUGGACUUACGUCAUUAAUCGAUUUGAUGGGUCAGUAAACUUUGACCGCAAGUGGACAGAUUAUAAGCAAAGUUUUGGUAAUCUUUCAGGAGAACAUUGGUUAGGUUUAGAUCAUCUCUACGAACUGACAAGUACUAAACCAACCGAGUUGUUUUUUGAACUGGUCGACCAGGAUUUGAAAAAGGUUUAUGCGCUAUAUGACGAUUUUCAAAUGGGAAAUGAACUUGAGAGUUAUCGUAUAAAAACUGUGGGGCAGUAUAGAGGAGACGCUGGAAAUUCGUUCAAAAGUCAGACUGAGAAAUUUAGUACUACAGAUCAUGGUGAAAAUAUCCGUUGCGCAGACUAUCACAAAGCUGGCUGGUGGUACUCGAGCUGCUAUUCCUCCUGUCUAACUUGCAGAUAUCGACCUAUGAAUGAAGUAAAAACUUCUAAAUAUUUCGAUUUGGGAGUCCAUUGGGUUACAUUUCACGGUGUUGAACAGAGCCUUAAGGAAGCGAGGAUGAUGAUCAGACCACGACAUGGAUAAUAUAUACCAUUUUUACUUCCCGAGCGUAAGCUAAGGAACUGUAGUAAUUGAGUUCAUCGAACGAAUGUAGUACGAAAAAUGUAGUCUCCCGUUUCCGUCUGUCUGUCUGUUUGUAUGUCUGUCUGGUGUUUGUAUCCAUUUUUGUUAGACACGUAAUCGCUGAAACUGCUGAAGCGAUUGUCGUCAAAUUUUAUAUAUAUACUAGCUGACCCCAUGAACUUCGUUUUACCUACAAUUUAAUUUUGAAUCUGCAAAACCGAAUGCUUGCAGAUGUUUUAAAUAUAUGAGAAGCAUAAUAAAUUUUUAUUCAAAAUAUAUUUACUUAUCUCCUCCAAAAAAUUAACGAUGUCAGCCCAAAAUUUUGCCAAAUGAAUCCUAUCUAAAAUGUCCAAAAUAGGAUGAGACUAUACCUACUUGUGAUUUAUCAUUCCAUUCAUAUUUUUUAGUUUUGCUUAUAAGGGAUGUCUCAAAAAGAUGAAUCACUGAGUCAA